Molecule: non-coding RNA, 348 nt
Organism: Thermincola sp.
Lineage: Bacteria; Bacillati; Bacillota; Clostridia; Eubacteriales; Thermincolaceae
Rfam family: transfer-messenger RNA
About the family: Bacterial tmRNA, also known as 10Sa RNA or SsrA, is named for its dual tRNA and mRNA-like properties. Its role is to liberate the mRNA from a stalled ribosome.
Source: Rfam
GGGGGUGUAAUGGUUUCGACGGGGGAUGAAUGGGCACAGGUAGCGAGCCGGGGUUCCAUCAGCCCGUAAUACGGUGGACUUAAAAUUAAACGCAGAAGAAAAUUACGCUUUAGCUGCCUAAUGCAGCUAACCUCUAACCCUCUGUGCUCUGGGUGAGGGAUUGGGGGUCAACCUACAGAGCUGGCUUAACUCCAAUUCUCGGAGGGGUUAGGCGAGAUUUAUCGAGAUAGUUUCACAGGAGCCUGCCGGUGGGCGCCUGGGGAGCGAAAUUAAAUCACCAGGCUGCGCUCGGAGAAGCUUGUGUGGGUUCUCUUCCGGACAGGGGUUCGACUCCCCUCACCUCCACCA